UGAGAUUUCUUAAUCUUGCUGAUUCCCCAA
This 30-nucleotide non-coding RNA is filed under the name Mus musculus (house mouse). Lineage: Eukaryota; Metazoa; Chordata; Mammalia; Rodentia; Muridae. The record is from RNAcentral.